GAGUUUGAUCCUGGCUCAGAUUGAACGCUGGCGGCAGGCCUAACACAUGCAAGUCGAGCGGUAGAGAGAAGCUUGCUUCUCUUGAGAGCGGCGGACGGGUGAGUAAUGCCUAGGAAUCUGCCUGGUAGUGGGGGAUAACGCUCGGAAACGGACGCUAAUACCGCAUACGUCCUACGGGAGAAAGCAGGGGACCUUCGGGCCUUGCGCUAUCAGAUGAGCCUAGGUCGGAUUAGCUAGUUGGUGAGGUAAUGGCUCACCAAGGCGACGAUCCGUAACUGGUCUGAGAGGAUGAUCAGUCACACUGGAACUGAGACACGGUCCAGACUCCUACGGGAGGCAGCAGUGGGGAAUAUUGGACAAUGGGCGAAAGUCUGAUCCAGCCAUGCCGCGUGUGUGAAGAAGGUCUUCGGAUUGUAAAGCACUUUAAGUUGGGAGGAAGGGCAGUAAAUUAAUACUUUGCUGUUUUGACGUUACCGACAGAAUAAGCACCGGCUAACUCUGUGCCAGCACG
RNAcentral lists this ribosomal RNA (511 nucleotides) under uncultured bacterium. RNAcentral describes it as "bacterial SSU rRNA". It matches the Rfam family "Bacterial small subunit ribosomal RNA", at positions 9 to 515 of the family's 1533-position model. The record is from RNAcentral.